UACGGAGGGUGCAAGCGUUGAUCGGAAUUACUGGGCGUAAAGCGCACGCAGGCGGCUAAAUAAGUUAGGUGUGAAAGCCCCCGGCUCAACUUGGGGAUUGCAUUUAAAACUGGACAGCUAGAGGUUUGUAGAGGGGGGUAGAAUUCCAAGUGUAGGGGUGAAAUGCGUAGAGAUCUGGAGGAAUGCCGGUGGUGAAGACGGCCUCCUGGACAAAGACUGACGCUGAGGUGCGAAAGCUUGGGGAUCAAACAGG
Molecule: ribosomal RNA, 253 nt
Filed under: uncultured bacterium
Lineage: Bacteria
Description: partial 16S ribosomal RNA
Rfam family: Bacterial small subunit ribosomal RNA
Source: RNAcentral